RNAcentral lists this ribosomal RNA (1028 nucleotides) under Clostridioides difficile. RNAcentral describes it as "bacterial SSU rRNA". It matches the Rfam family "Bacterial small subunit ribosomal RNA", at positions 200 to 1250 of the family's 1533-position model. Lineage: Bacteria; Bacillati; Bacillota; Clostridia; Peptostreptococcales; Peptostreptococcaceae. The record is from RNAcentral.
AUCAAAGGUGAGCCAGUACAGGAUGGACCCGCGUCUGAUUAGCUAGUUGGUAAGGUAACGGCUUACCAAGGCGACGAUCAGUAGCCGACCUGAGAGGGUGAUCGGCCACAUUGGAACUGAGACACGGUCCAAACUCCUACGGGAGGCAGCAGUGGGGAAUAUUGCACAAUGGGCGAAAGCCUGAUGCAGCAACGCCGCGUGAGUGAUGAAGGCCUUCGGGUCGUAAAACUCUGUCCUCAAGGAAGAUAAUGACGGUACUUGAGGAGGAAGCCCCGGCUAACUACGUGCCAGCAGCCGCGGUAAUACGUAGGGGGCUAGCGUUAUCCGGAUUUACUGGGCGUAAAGGGUGCGUAGGCGGUCUUUCAAGUCAGGAGUGAAAGGCUACGGCUCAACCGUAGUAAGCUCUUGAAACUGGGAGACUUGAGUGCAGGAGAGGAGAGUGGAAUUCCUAGUGUAGCGGUGAAAUGCGUAGAUAUUAGGAGGAACACCAGUUGCGAAGGCGGCUCUCUGGACUGUAACUGACGCUGAGGCACGAAAGCGUGGGGAGCAAACAGGAUUAGAUACCCUGGUAGUCCACGCUGUAAACGAUGAGUACUAGGUGUCGGGGGUUACCCCCCUCGGUGCCGCAGCUAACGCAUUAAGUACUCCGCCUGGGAAGUACGCUCGCAAGAGUGAAACUCAAAGGAAUGGACGGGGACCCGCACAAGUAGCGGAGCAUGUGGUUUAAUUCGAAGCAACGCGAAGAACCUUACCUAAGCUUGACAUCCCAAUGACAUCUCCUUAAUCGGAGAGUUCCCUUCGGGGACAUUGGUGACAGGUGGUGCAUGGUUGUCGUCAGCUCGUGUCGUGAGAUGUUGGGUUAAGUCCCGCAACGAGCGCAACCCUUGUCUUUAGUUGCCAUCAUUAAGUUGGGCACUCUAGAGAGACUGCCAGGGAUAACCUGGAGGAAGGUGGGGAUGACGUCAAAUCAUCAUGCCCCUUAUGCUUAGGGCUACACACGUGCUACAAUGGGUAGUACAGAGGGUUGC